UACGUAGGGACCAAGCGUUGUUCGGAUUUACUGGGCGUAAAGGGCGCGUAGGCGGCGCGGUAAGUCACUUGUGAAAUCUCUGAGCUUAACUCAGAACGGCCAAGUGAUACUGCAGUGCUAGAGUGUGGAAGGGGCAAUCGGAAUUCUUGGUGUAGCGGUGAAAUGCGUAGAUAUCAAGAGGAACACCUGAGGUGAAGACGGGUUGUUGGGCCAACACUGACGCUGAGGCGCGAAAGCCAGGGGAGCAAACGGG
This 253-nucleotide ribosomal RNA is filed under the name uncultured bacterium. RNAcentral's name for it is "partial 16S ribosomal RNA". It matches the Rfam family "Bacterial small subunit ribosomal RNA", at positions 524 to 776 of the family's 1533-position model. The record is from RNAcentral.